RNAcentral lists this non-coding RNA (72 nucleotides) under Nocardia nova. RNAcentral describes it as "Fluoride sequence". It matches the Rfam family "Fluoride riboswitch aptamer (crcB RNA motif)". Lineage: Bacteria; Bacillati; Actinomycetota; Actinomycetes; Mycobacteriales; Nocardiaceae. The record is from RNAcentral.
CUGAGAGCAGGUGAUGGAUCCCGCCCGGGAAAUUCCCGAACCGCCACCUCGGCUGAUGGGUCCUGCUGGCGU